CAAGUCGAGCGAGAACCGUAGCAAUACGGGGACAGCGGCGAAAGGGACAGUAAUGUGUAGGUACCUACCUCCGGGUUCGGGAUAGCUGCGGGAAACUGCAGGUAAUACCGAAUAAUGUCUCCGGACCAAAGGUGUGAUUCCACCUGGAGAGGGGCCUGCAUCCUAUUAGCUUGUUGGCGGGGUAACGGCCCACCAAGGCGACGAUGGGUAGCGGGUGUGAGAGCACGACCCGCGUCAUUGGGACUGAGACACUGCCCAGACACUUACGGGUGGCUGCAGUCGAGGAUCUUCGGCAAUGGGCGCAAGCCUGACCGAGCGACGCCGCGUGCGGGAUGAAGGCCUUCGGGUUGUAAACCGCUGUCGUAGAGGAGGAAAUGCAGGGGGGUUCUCCCCCCUGUUUGACCUAUUCUAGGAGGAAGUACGGGCUAAGUUCGUGCCAGCAGCCGCGGUAAGACGAACCGUACAAACGUUACUCGGAAUUACUGGGCUUAAAGGGUGCGUAGGCUGCGCGGAAAGUCGGAUGUGAAAGCCCUCAGCUCAACUGGGGAAUUGCACUCGAAACUACCGUGCUCGAGGGAGACAGAGGUAAGCGGAACUCAAGGUGGAGCGGUGAAAUGCGUUGAUAUCUUGAGGAACACCGGUGGCGAAGGCGGCUUACUGGGUCUCUUCUGACGCUGAGGCACGAAAGCCAAGGUAGCAAACGGGAUUAGAUACCCCGGUAGUCUUGGCUGUAAACGAUGAGCACUUGUUUGAAGGGUCCUCCAUAGCCUUUUAGACGUACGAAAGUGUUAAGUGCUCCGCCUGGGGAGGUAUGGUCGCAGGUUGAAACUCAAAAAGUUGACGG
Molecule: ribosomal RNA, 844 nt
Filed under: uncultured bacterium
Lineage: Bacteria
Description: bacterial SSU rRNA
Rfam family: Bacterial small subunit ribosomal RNA
Source: RNAcentral